Molecule: ribosomal RNA, 253 nt
Filed under: uncultured bacterium
Lineage: Bacteria
Description: partial 16S ribosomal RNA
Rfam family: Bacterial small subunit ribosomal RNA
Source: RNAcentral
UACGUAGGGUGCGAGCGUUGUCCGGAAUUAUUGGGCGUAAAGGGCUCGUAGGCGGUCUGUCGCGUCGGUAGUGAAAACUCAGGGCUUAACCCUGAGCCUGCUUCCGAUACGGGCAGACUAGAGGUAUGCAGGGGAGAACGGAAUUCCUGGUGUAGCGGUGAAAUGCGCAGAUAUCAGGAGGAACACCGGUGGCGAAGGCGGUUCUCUGGGCAUUACCUGACGCUGAGGAGCGAAAGUGUGGGGAGCGAACAGG